UGCUAAGGAAAGGAAAAAAUUUAGUGGAAGGAAAAAAAUUAAGUCAGUAUAAGUUGCCAGCUCACAAGUAAACCAAUUUCAAAAUAAAGAUCCGACACGGGGGUGGGUCUACCUUCUCUGACCACGACUGGCAAUAACCUUGCUCUGCUCUCUCUUCUUAUCCCAUACUGGGCAUUCUAUUAUGUAAUUAUCUUUACUGACCAUAACAAUUCUGUAAUGUUCUCUUGGUUGUACCGUAAGUUCUUUGAGAGUAGAAAACAUGUCACACGUAUUCUCUCAAAAAUCUAGCACAAGUUCCUAUUCAAUUACUUGUUGACUACAAGACCAACCUGAGAGUAAGAGAAACCAGGACAGCUUUGGGGUGGGCAGAACCCUAGGAUGGCUCCCAAUUUCCCAGCCCCACCAAGGGGAUGACACUUGGAUAAUCCCUCCCUUGAGGGCGGUGGCAUAGCCACUCCCUCCAUUAGUUUACAUUGUACCGCAAAGGAUGACACUGCACUAAGACGCAGGCUUAGCUGACUGAAGGAGAAGACGUGACCUACUUACUACGUGGAAGGGCUACACGGCCAGGAGCUGCGGGGCCGCUAGAAGCUGAGGGCAGCCUCGCCUGCAGCCAACAAGCAGAAGACCCAGUCCUGCAGCUGCAAGGAGCUGCCUGUGCCAAGGGAACAGGACCCACGCAGCAGAAGGGAGCCAGCCCGGCCAGGCCAGGCCCUCCUGAACUUCUGAUCAACUAAAACUGGGAGAUAAUCUACGGGGGUUGUUUUUAAGCUGCUAAGCCUGUGGUGACUUGUUAUGUAGCACAGAAAACUAAUAUAAACUUUUAAAAGCAUUCAACUCUCACUUGGAGAGAACCAAAUACUCUCUCGUUUUACUAACUAUAAGCACAAUAAAACCUUGAUAUAAUGGACUAAUUUGGGCAACAGGGUGUCCAAGCCAAAAGUCUGUUAUAUAAUGAAGUAGAUUUUCCAAAUGUGUGCAUAGUCUGUGCCCCAGCAAUUUCAGUGUUAGGAAUUUAGCUUAAGGAUAUAUUGGCAAAAGCACACCCUGGUAGAUUUACAAGGAUAUUCCUAUGUGUUCACACAGUGGAAUGUACUAACACAGAAAUGGGCGAUGUAAGCCAGUAAGGAUCUCAGAUAUAUUACUGAAAAACUAAGGUCCUGAGCGUACAGUAUGAUCUCUUCUAUAGUAACCAAAUAAGAAAUGCAUAAAAAUUUCUGGAAGAUUUGAGUAAAAAUUGUUAAUAGUGGUUUUAGAGAAGAGAUCUAUGGGGUGAGAGUUGGUAAGAUGAAGGACACUUUUCAGUUUAAUUCUGUCUGUAAAGUUUUCAUUCCCACCACAGGCAAUCUUUCAUUUUAAAUAAUUUGUGCCAUUCGGUUAUUAUCUGCCUGGUCUUCGGAUGCCCUCAAAUUAAAUCUGGAAAGAGGGCAACAAAGCUUAAAGUAAAGAAGAAAUAAAUGUUUACGAAGAUUAACAUAUUCCAGGUCUUGUCAGGUACGACCCUCUCUUAUCCCCACAAAAAUCCUAUGAGGCAAGGGUCAACUUAUGAGGUGUAGUAACUUGCUCCAGAUCAUAUAACUUGAAAAACAUUCAUUUUUAUCCUUCCUUUUGGAACUUAACAGUAUAAUUCAAUUUACGAUUAUAUGUAUAUAUUUCAUCUAGAAAGGGAGAUUAAAUAGUUAAGAAAACCUGCCCUGGUAGGUAGCUCAGUUGGUUCACCAAGUUUGUGGGUUUGAUCCUCAGUCAGAGAACUUACAAGAAUCAACCAAUAAAUGCAUCAAUAAGUGCAACAACAAAUCAAUGUCUCUGGUCUCUCUUCUCUCUCUCUCUUUUUCCCCCGUCCCCUUCCUCUCUCUAAAAUCAAUAAAUAAAAUUUAAAAAAGAAAACCUAAGGUAAGGACUUGACCAACAAUUGUUUGAAUCCCCUAAGUACACAGUAACUAACUUUCUAAACCUAAAACAACAAGAAUAAUUUCUGUCAUCUAUUUUGACAUUUUGUUUGUAAACAAUGUUAAAGUAAAGAGGUAGCCGAGCUAGGAAGCCUUGCUGUGGCUUCCAUGGUAAGUAACCAGAUGAUUUCAUAGUCCUGGCACGUUCUUUAAACAGGCUCCACUUUCAAAAACCUUUCUCAUGCAGUUCUUGACUCACCUAAGCCCUUGUAACAGAACGGAAGUGGGGAAGAUCUAAACAGCAUAAGAUCUCUAAAAGACGUUUCUUCAACAAUGUAAGCAUUACUCCAAGCUGGUAUUUCUUAAAGUAAGGAUCCGAACUACAGGGGAGGCGUCAGUGACUGACGAAGCACGUCCCCUCUGAUCUGGUACCCAAAGGCCCCACAAUGGAAAACCAGGGUUUUGAGACAAACCCAGGUACAAAUUUUGUUCUGCUACUUAUAGCUGCCUAUAUGAUACAAUAAAGUAGAAAGUAUAUUCAUGAAAAAGGUUAAAGGAGUUUACACAAAAUUUAUGUUUACCUCUGGAUGCUGGGAUUAAGAUUAAGAUGAUUGUUUUCCUUUCUACAAUCUCAUAGUGUCUAAAUUUUCUAUGGUAACACUUUUUAAAUUAAUCUGCUUUCCAUGCCGUGUGAACUUUGAUUCUGUGUAAAUCCAUUCACACUGGGGAGAAGGAGCUACGCUUUGUUGCCAUGAUGGUGCCGUAUUUUGCUCACUCACCUCCCUCCAUAGGCAUGAAAGACAACAGAUUCCUUCCCUGUGCUGAUGCAGCCAGUGAUGGUCUCCAACAUUCCCGAGUUGACCAUUUUAUACAUAAGUAAGCGUGUCUUGGGAUCAACUGCUUUUUCCUACAAGAGACACGGCACAAAGAAUGACAACGUUCACCACGUAACAUCAUCUGAGCCGGUGCUAAUAGCAAACAUUCAAAAUACAUAUCUUUUUUUAAACUUGUAACAGGCUCUUAAGAUUAGCAAUCUAGAUACAGUUCAUCCCUUUAACUUUAAUUCUAAUGUCUUUGAAAAUUAACAUCUAAAAGAAUCAUCAGAAUUCAGACAUUAGCUUAGUCAAAAUCAUAUUUUAUCUCCAAAGUUUAAACAACUCCCCCAGUGUACUUACCAUUAGUUUGUUUUUCUAAAGGUUUAAAAAUUACUUUAUUCUCAAGAUAUUAGACACUGUCUUCGUCAAUGUAAAGCAUUAGAGACUUAUAAAUUAUUACAAAAUGUCAUAAUUUCUUUAAUAUCUUAGAACAUUAAUAUGCAAUGUAAACUAUACAAUUCAAAUUAUAACCACUAAACUGUAGGUUUUAAAUAAGUGAUUAAUAACCAUUACAUUAAAGCUGAAAAGUCUAAUAAGCAAAGCUACUGGGUUUAUUUACAUCUUAGAUUUGAAAAACCAAUCUUGUGAAAAAAAUACCAAACAGAAAAAAAUUUAAGGUUACUUACGGCAGUAGAGUGUUCUUUUUUCUCGUGGAGGCGGGCACUUCGACGUUCUUCUGAGUAGGCAUGUUGUUUUAAAGCAUUGAAAACAUGGUUUGAUAGCUUUAAAUCCAUUCCAAUUCCAUCUCCUACCUGAAAC
Long non-coding RNA from Myotis daubentonii (Daubenton's bat), 3523 nucleotides. RefSeq lists it as uncharacterized. NCBI's taxonomy places the organism in Eukaryota, Metazoa, Chordata, Mammalia, Chiroptera, Vespertilionidae. The record is from RefSeq and is a predicted model, not a curated record. The transcript has 2 exons.